Molecule: ribosomal RNA, 273 nt
Filed under: uncultured bacterium
Lineage: Bacteria
Description: partial 16S ribosomal RNA
Rfam family: Bacterial small subunit ribosomal RNA
Source: RNAcentral
GACAGAGGGUGCAAACGUUGCUCGGAAUUACUGGGCGUAAAGCGCGUGUAGGCGGGAAGAUAAGUCGGGUGUGAAAUCCCUGGGCUCAACCUAGGAACUGCAUCCGAAACUGCCUUUCUGGAGUGAUGGAGAGGAAAGCGGAAUUCCCGGUGUAGAGGUGAAAUUCGUAGAUAUCGGGAGGAACACCAGUGGCGAAGGCGGCUUUCUGGCCAUCAACUGACGCUGAGACGCGAAAGCGUGGGGAGCAAACAGGAUUAGAAACCCCCGUAGUCC